AUACCGGCAGCACGAGUGAUGGCCGAUAUUAUUGGGCCUAAAGCGUCCGUAGCCGGCCGAACAAGUCCGUUGGGAAAUCCACGUGCUCAACGCGUGGGCGUCCAGCGGAAACUGUUCGGCUUGGGGCCGGAAGACCUGAGGGGUACGUCCGGGGUAGGAGUGAAAUCCUGUAAUCCUGGACGGACCACCGGUGGCGAAAGCGCCUCAGGAAGACGGACCCGACGGUGAGGGACGAAAGCUAGGGUCUCGAACCGGAUUAGAUACCCGGGUAGUCCUAGCUGUAAACGAUGCUCGCUAGGUGUGCCACAGGCUACGAGCCUGUGCUGUGCCCUAGGGAAGCCGAGAAGCGAGCCGCCUGGGAAGUACGUCUGCAAGGAUGAA
This 381-nucleotide ribosomal RNA is filed under the name uncultured bacterium. Its description in RNAcentral is "bacterial SSU rRNA". It matches the Rfam family "Archaeal small subunit ribosomal RNA", at positions 473 to 853 of the family's 1478-position model. The record is from RNAcentral. RNAcentral also lists the same sequence under 1 other name.